Chelonoidis abingdonii (Abingdon island giant tortoise) is the source of this 450-nucleotide non-coding RNA. The record is from RefSeq and is a predicted model, not a curated record. NCBI's taxonomy places the organism in Eukaryota, Metazoa, Chordata, Testudines, Testudinidae.
GGGGAGGAAAACCAUAAACCCUGUUACAACCAAAUUGUAAAAGGUUUCUGAGAAGCCGAGUACAGGGAAGAGCUGAGAAGGGUGAUGAGAACAGUUUAAAAACAGGAAAGUUAAGGGAACAGAGAACACCCAGGAGGGUAAAACCAGACAGAAGGGAGGUGGGAUUAGAAAGGGGAAAGAGGGUCUUUCUAAGUACUUAAAGGGCAUUAACCACCCUCCUCGUAUCCAGGCACUCAACCACACAGAGAGAGGCAAAGGGAAGGCUUGAGAAGAUGGUGAAGAGGGAGAUGGUGAAGGAGGUCGAAAGGGAAAGCAGAAGAAGGGAGGGGGACUGGAAAGCUGGACAGAAUGGGGAAGAAACUGACAAAUGUGGGGUUAACACAGAAACUCAGUGAGGAGGAAGUGGGAGGAACACACUCUCUUGCCUCUCUCAAGUUCCUCCCCAUUCCA